Molecule: long non-coding RNA, 156 nt
Organism: Rhodamnia argentea
Lineage: Eukaryota; Viridiplantae; Streptophyta; Magnoliopsida; Myrtales; Myrtaceae
Exons: 3
Source: RefSeq, a predicted model, not a curated record
GGUACAGGAAAACGACAUGGAUGUACAUCUCUAUUCCACUGUUGCUCUACAUAGUCGAGAGAAGCGUACGAGCAUGCCGAUCGAAUCAUUACGCGGUUCGAAUAUUGAAGGUUUCGGCACUGCCAGGGAAUGUCUGUAGCAUAAUCAUGUCCAAGC